Molecule: long non-coding RNA, 253 nt
Filed under: Elaeis guineensis (African oil palm)
Lineage: Eukaryota; Viridiplantae; Streptophyta; Magnoliopsida; Arecales; Arecaceae
Description: long non-coding RNA (EGUI_LNC073149)
Source: RNAcentral
UAGAAAUCUAACUUAGGUUAAAUGUAUCAAAGGUGAAAAUUAAAAUAUUCUGGUUAAGGCGGAUGAAAUCAAAGAAAGAUGGAGUUAUUUUGAUAAGUUAUUCAAUGAAAGUUACAUAAAUGAUUUAAAAUGCCAUAUUAGUGCCAUUGAGGCUAGGCAUGUUAAAUAUACAUGCAGAAUUAGCUUAUCUGAGGCCAAAAAAAAAAGCUAUGAAUAAGGUGAAAAAAGGAAAAGCGGUUGGAUCUGAUAGAAU